RNAcentral lists this ribosomal RNA (865 nucleotides) under uncultured Acidobacteriota bacterium. RNAcentral describes it as "bacterial SSU rRNA". It matches the Rfam family "Bacterial small subunit ribosomal RNA", at positions 56 to 896 of the family's 1533-position model. The record is from RNAcentral. Lineage: Bacteria; Pseudomonadati; Acidobacteriota.
UGCAAGUCGAACGCGAAAGUCCCCCUCGGGGGAUUAGUAGAGUGGCGCACGGGUGAGUAACACGUAGGUAAUUUGCCUUCGGGUGGGGAAUAACAGCCGGAAACGGCUGCUAAUACCGCAUAAUGCAGCGGCACCUCAUGGUGACAGUUGUUAAAGCGGGGGAUCCUUCGGGACCUCGCGCCUGAAGAGAAGCCUGCGGCGGAUUAGCUUGUUGGUGAGGUAAUGGCUCACCAAGGCUACGAUCCGUAACCGGCCUGAGAGGGCGGUCGGUCACACUGACACUGACAUACGGGUCAGACUCCUACGGGAGGCAGCAGUCGGGAAUUUUGGGCAAUGGGCGAAAGCCUGACCCAGCAACGCCGCGUGAAGGAUGAAAUCCUUCGGGAUGUAAACUUCAUAAGAACGGGAAGAAUAAGCGAAAGCGAAUACCUUUCGUGAUGACGGUACCGUUAGUAAGCUCCGGCUAACCCCGUGCCAGCAGCCGCGGUAAUACGGGGGGAGCAAGCGUUGUUCGGAUUUACUGGGCGUAAAGGGCGCGUAGGCGGUUAUGACAAGUCGGUUGUGAAAUCUCCGGGCUUAACUCGGAAAGGUCAACCGAUACUGUCAGACUAGAGUGCGGAAGGGGCAACUGGAAUUCUCGGUGUAGCGGUGAAAUGCGUAGAUAUCGAGAGGAACACCUGCGGCGAGGGCGGGUUGCUGGGCCGACACUGACGCUGAGGCGCGAAAGCCAGGGGAGCGAACGGGAUUAGAUACCCCGGUAGUCCUGGCCUUAAACGAUGGAUGCUUGGUGUCUCGGGUUUAUAGUCCCGGGGUGCCGGCGCUAACGCGUUAAGCAUCCCGCCUGGGGAGUACGGUCGCAAGACUG